GAUGAACGCUGGCGGCGUGCCUAAUACAUGCAAGUCGAGCGAACAGACGAGGAUCUUGCUCCUCUGACGUUAGCGGCGGACGGGUGAGUAACACGUGGAUAACCUACCUAUAAGACUGGGAUAACUUCGGGAAACCGGAGCUAAUACCGGAUAAUAUAUUGAACCGCAUGGUUCAAUAGUGAAAGACGGUUUUGCUGUUACUUAUAGAUGGAUCCGCGCCGCAUUAGCUAGUUGGUAAGGUAACGGCUUACCAAGGCAACGAUGCGUAGCCGACCUGGGAGGGUGAUCGGCCACCCUGGAACUGAGACACGGUCCAGACUCCUACGGGGGGCAGCAGUAGGGAAUCUUCCGCAAGGGGCGAAAGCCUGACGGAGCAACGCCGCGUGAGUGAUGAAGGUCUUCGGAUCGUAAAACUCUGUUAUUAGGGAAGAACAAAUGUGUAAGUAACUAUGCACGUCUUGACGGUACCUAAUCAGAAAGCCACGGCUAACUACGUG
RNAcentral lists this ribosomal RNA (497 nucleotides) under uncultured bacterium. Its description in RNAcentral is "partial 16S ribosomal RNA". It matches the Rfam family "Bacterial small subunit ribosomal RNA", at positions 28 to 507 of the family's 1533-position model. The record is from RNAcentral.